GAGUUUGAUCCUGGCUCAGGACGAACGCUGGCGGCGUGCUUAACACAUGCAAGUGGAGCGACGAACCAGGGCUUGCCCUGGGGCAGAGCCGCGAACGGGUGAGUAACACGUGGGUAACCUACCCCGAUGACCGGGACAACCCGAGGAAACUCGGGCUAAUACCGGAUGUUCUCGUUUCUCUCAAGGGAUUCGAGCAAAAGAUAGCUUCGGCCUUCGCAUCGGGACGGGCCCGCGGCCCAUUAGCUUGUUGGUGGGGUAACGGCCUACCAAGGCGACGAUGGGUAGCUGGUCUGAGAGGACGAUCAGCCACACUGGGACUGAGACACGGCCCAGACUCCUACGGGAGGCAGCAGUGGGGAAUCUUGCGCAAUGCGCGAAAGCGUGACGCAGCAACGCCGCGUGGGGG
This 406-nucleotide ribosomal RNA is filed under the name uncultured Actinomycetes bacterium. RNAcentral's name for it is "bacterial SSU rRNA". It matches the Rfam family "Bacterial small subunit ribosomal RNA", at positions 9 to 407 of the family's 1533-position model. The record is from RNAcentral. Lineage: Bacteria; Bacillati; Actinomycetota; Actinomycetes.